Molecule: long non-coding RNA, 230 nt
Filed under: Phoenix dactylifera (date palm)
Lineage: Eukaryota; Viridiplantae; Streptophyta; Magnoliopsida; Arecales; Arecaceae
Description: long non-coding RNA (PDAC_LNC007254)
Source: RNAcentral
UGACCUUAUAGAAAAGAUUGUAUAGAUUGCAAGGUAUCCUCGAUAUUCGGCUUCUGAGAGGGUGGUGAUGCAAAAGUAGGAUGUGCAGGUGGAGGAGAUGAAUGGUGUGACUGUUGAGGAUGAUCGUUUCUCCACCUAAAAUUUGGAUGAUUCUUCCAACCAGGGUUAUAAGUAUUCGAGAAUGGAUCGUUAUAAGGCUUUUGGUAGGAGUUCAUAGCAUUUGCUUGAUC